UGCGUAGGCGGUUUAUCAAGUCAGAUGUGAAAUCCCCGGGCUUAACUCGGGACGUGCAUUUGAAACUGAUAGACUUGAGUAAAGAAGAGGUAAGUGGAAUUCCUAGUGUAGCGGUGGAAUGCGUAGAUAUUAGGAGGAACACCAGUGGCGAAGGCGACUUACUGGUCUUUUACUGACGCUGAGGCACGAAAGCGUGGGGAGCAAACAGGAUUAGAUACCCUGGUAGUCC
RNAcentral lists this ribosomal RNA (229 nucleotides) under uncultured bacterium. RNAcentral's name for it is "partial 16S ribosomal RNA". It matches the Rfam family "Bacterial small subunit ribosomal RNA", at positions 568 to 796 of the family's 1533-position model. The record is from RNAcentral.